GUAGUUCUGGGUACACCGAGUAGCAUCUAACGUUGCUUCCGGCUCUUGUAGCUAACUACACCGAGUUGACCGCUACACCGAGUUGAGCAUUACUUCCAUGUGCAUUACUGACAUUGUUAUUCCGGCUCUUGUAGCCUAAGCUACAGUGAGUAAACACCUACUCUUAUGCUCUAAAAGCUUUCCAAUAGCUGCUACACCGAGUUUAACUAUGUCAGUAAUUUAGAAAAUGCUGAGUCUGCCCCAAACCCAAAUCAAGUAUAAGUUUUUAGUUAUUUUGUAUUAAGAAGUUAUGUAAUAUAGU
This 301-nucleotide long non-coding RNA is filed under the name Mytilus galloprovincialis (Mediterranean mussel). The record is from RNAcentral. Lineage: Eukaryota; Metazoa; Mollusca; Bivalvia; Mytilida; Mytilidae.